UGGGGAAUAUUGGACAAUGGGCGAAAGCCUGAUCCAGCCAUGCCGCGUGUGUGAAGAAGGUCUUCGGAUUGCAAAGCACUUUAAGUUGGGAGGAAGGGCAUUAACCUAAUACGUUAGUGUUUUGACGUUACCGACAGAAUAAGCACCGGCUAACUCUGUGCCAGCAGCCGCGGUAAUACAGAGGGUGCAAGCGUUAAUCGGAAUUACUGGGCGUAAAGCGCGCGUAGGUGGUUUGUUAAGUUGGAUGUGAAAUCCCCGGGCUCAACCUGGGAACUGCAUUCAAAACUGACUGACUAGAGUAUGGUAGAGGGUGGUGGAAUUUCCUGUGUAGCGGUGAAAUGCGUAGAUAUAGGAAGGAACACCAGUGGCGAAGGCGACCACCUGGACUAAUACUGACACUGAGGUGCGAAAGCGUGGGGAGCAAACA
RNAcentral lists this ribosomal RNA (427 nucleotides) under uncultured bacterium. RNAcentral's name for it is "partial 16S ribosomal RNA". It matches the Rfam family "Bacterial small subunit ribosomal RNA", at positions 355 to 774 of the family's 1533-position model. The record is from RNAcentral.